CCUACGGGUGGCAGCAGUAGGGAAUAUUGCUCAAUGGGGGAAACCCUGAAGCAGCAACGCCGCGUGGAGGAUGAAGGAUUUAGGAUUGUAAACCCCUUUUGUUAGAGAAGAUUAUGACGGUAUCUAACGAAUAAGGAACGGCCAACUCCGUGCCAGCAGCCGCGGUAACACGGAGGAUGCAAGCGUUACUCGGAAUCACUGGGCGUAAAGGGUGUGUAGGCGGGGUAAUAAGUCAGAGGUGAAACCCUGUAGCUUAACUAAAGAACUGAAGUUGAAACUGUUACUCUGGAGUUUGGGAGGGGUAGGUGGAAUGCUUGGUGUAGGGGUAAAAUGCGUAGAGAUCAAGAGGAAUACUCAUUGCGAAGGCGACCUGCUGGAACAUUACUGACGCUGAUGCACGAAAGCGUGGGGAGCAAACAGGAUUAGAUACCCUUGUAGUC
This 440-nucleotide ribosomal RNA is filed under the name uncultured bacterium. RNAcentral's name for it is "partial 16S ribosomal RNA". It matches the Rfam family "Bacterial small subunit ribosomal RNA", at positions 338 to 795 of the family's 1533-position model. The record is from RNAcentral.